RNAcentral lists this ribosomal RNA (329 nucleotides) under Neocallimastigales sp. Its description in RNAcentral is "partial large subunit ribosomal RNA". Lineage: Eukaryota; Fungi; Neocallimastigomycota; Neocallimastigomycetes; Neocallimastigales. The record is from RNAcentral.
UGUUGUUUUCUCGAAAAUCAAUUAAAAAUGGCUUGAUUUUGUGUUGUAUUGACCUUAAAAGCUUUCUUCACUUUUUUCAUGUCUUUUUUAAUGCACUUUUCGUUUAACAAGUCAACAUCAGUUUCUUUUGUUGUAAAAAGGUCAUUGGAAGGUGGCUUUCUUUUCGGAGAAAGUGUUUAUAGCCUUUGACUUCUGCAAUCGGAGAGACUGAGGUCUGCAGUGUAGAUCCUUCUGGAUUAGAUUCAUUUGUGCUAAGUUACAACCGUUUAUAGACAACUUGUUGACUAUAUUCGAUCCUAUAGCUUACUCGCUUAUGUAAUUUUACCUAC